UGCCAGCAGCCGCGGUAAUAUGGACGGUGCAUGCGUUAUCCGGAUUUACUGGGUUUAAAGGGUACGCAGGCGGUGUAAUAAGUCAGUGGUGAAAGCUUCCAGCUCAACUGGAAAACUGCCAUUGAUACUGUUACACUUGAAUUUGGGAGAGGUAGGCGGAAUACAUCAUGUAGCGGUGAAAUGCUUAGAUAUGAUGUAGAACACCGAUUGCGAAGGCAGCUUACUAGACCAAUAUUGACGCUCAUGUACGAAAGCGUGGGGAGCAAACAGGGUUAGAUA
Molecule: ribosomal RNA, 279 nt
Filed under: uncultured bacterium
Lineage: Bacteria
Description: partial 16S ribosomal RNA
Rfam family: Bacterial small subunit ribosomal RNA
Source: RNAcentral